Non-coding RNA from Cricetulus griseus (Chinese hamster), 378 nucleotides. Lineage: Eukaryota; Metazoa; Chordata; Mammalia; Rodentia; Cricetidae. The record is from RefSeq and is a predicted model, not a curated record.
UUGAAACCUCAAAACCCAGCCCCAGUGACACAUUUCCUCCAACAAGGCCAUACUUCCUAAUAGUGCCACUCCCAAUGAACCAAUGAGGCCAUUUCAUUCAAACAACCACAGCUGUGGAAGAUGGACAUGGGUCCUUUGGUGACCAAGGUCACCGAGAAGGAAGUACAGCAGUGUGUUUUGCUUGCGUGUACAUAUGUGUACCGUAUGCAUGCAGUUCCUGUGGAGGUCCGAAUAAGGAUUGGGUCUCCUCGAACUGGAGUUAUGGGUACCCAUGAGCUGCCACAUGGGUGCUGGGAACCAAGCUUUGCUUCUCUACAGUAAGUGCUCUUAACCAUGGAGCCAUCACUCUAGCCUUCUCCCUGGUUUGUUUGUUUUGAG